Non-coding RNA from Phasianus colchicus (ring-necked pheasant), 1172 nucleotides. Lineage: Eukaryota; Metazoa; Chordata; Aves; Galliformes; Phasianidae. The record is from RefSeq and is a predicted model, not a curated record.
UCUUUAUAUCCAAUUUGAAUCUCCCCACUUUUAGUUUGAAGCCAUUUCUCCCUGUCCUGUCAUAGCACACCCUGUUAAACUGUCACGCACCUUUUAUGUAACCUACUCUUGGGAGCCCACAUUUGCUUGGAGGUUGGACAAGAUGAUCUCCAGAGUUCCCUUCCAACCUCUAUGAUUCUUUUAUUCUGUAGGAACCUGCUGCUUGACUCACCAGCAUCCCCAAGACCAGGAGAAUGAACUGAACUCUGAACACAGAGAAAAAGUACCACAGAAUUUCACAAGCGUUGCCUUCUUCUUGGGACAAAUAUGAGAGAAAAAGUGGGAAAAAAGAAAAAACUCUUCUUAAAAGUUGCUGAUUUUUUACCAGAAAAUGGUUCUUUUGUUUUUGAAUUAGUGGCAAGACAUGAAUUUCACUUUCCCAGCUCUGCCUUGGCACUAGUACCAUAUUGCUGCCUGGAAGGUUAUUCAAAAAUUCUGUGUGCCUCCAUCCCUGCCACUGGUGGUCCAGAAUGAGCUGAGCUGAGAUGAUUGUUUGCUCAUCAGAUUCCCGAAACAGUCCAAUUUCACAAUCCUACAGCCUACAUGAUGCUAAUGGCACAAGAUUCCUGGCAGAGGUUUGACUUCUGUUAAUUGCUGAGACAGCAGGAAUGGAGGGAGUUUUUGGGAUGGAGGGGAGGAGCCAGGGCUGUGGGGAAUUCUCAAAUACCCCGUUACUUGGGUACAUGUCCUGCUUCCUUCCUGCAGUGUUCACUGUGAUCAACAUGGGGUUCAUUCUCCUGCCAUGUCUUUGGGCUUCCCUUGCUGGAGUCCUGUUGGCAGGAAAUAGUGAAGCUAUUCAACUGCGAUUAGUAAAUGGUAGAAAUCACUGCUCUGGGAGAGUGGAGGUGCUUUAUGACCAGCAAUGGGGAACGGUCUGUGACGAUAACUGGGAUCUAAUUGAUGCUGAAGUUGUGUGCCGUCAGCUGGGCUGUGGGACAGCCCUAUCUGCUGCUUCCUCAGCUUAUUUUGGAAGAGGAUCUGACCCCAUUUGGCUUGAUGAUGUUAAUUGUAAAGGAACUGAAGCUGCCCUGUCUGAAUGCACUGCAAAACCUUGGGGAAAACAUGACUGUGGGCAUGGAGAAGAUGCUGGUGUUGUAUGCUCAGGUAACUCUCAUCCUACAUGACACAACUGA